GACGAACGCUGGCGGCGUGCUUAACACAUGCAAGUCGAACGAUGAAGCUGGAGCUUGCUCCGGUGGAUUAGUGGCGAACGGGUGAGUAACACGUGAGUAACCUGCCCUUGACUCUGGGAUAACUGCGGGAAACUGUAGCUAAUACCGGAUACGACCCUCGGAGGCAUCUCCUGGGGGUGGAAAGAAUUUCGGUCAAGGAUGGACUCGCGGCCUAUCAGCUAGUUGGUGAGGUAAAGGCUCACCAAGGCGACGACGGGUAGCCGGCCUGAGAGGGUGACCGGCCACACUGGGACUGAGACACGGCCCAGACUCCUACGGGAGGCAGCAGUGGGGAAUAUUGCACAAUGGGCGCAAGCCUGAUGCAGCAACGCCGCGUGAGGGAUGA
This 385-nucleotide ribosomal RNA is filed under the name uncultured bacterium. RNAcentral's name for it is "bacterial SSU rRNA". It matches the Rfam family "Bacterial small subunit ribosomal RNA", at positions 28 to 411 of the family's 1533-position model. The record is from RNAcentral.